UUUUCAAAACAAUUUUUCUAAACAAUUCACAAACACUUUUUUUUUAGACAAAAAUAAUAUAAGUGAUCGAGCAAUUAAGAGCCCAUGGAUAACCAUGGAUACAAAGGGUGCUAACACCUUCCCUUUGUAUAAUGUACCUCCCGAACCCAAAAUCUAAAUUAAGGUUUUUCCUGUUCUUUUCCACCUUUCCUUAUUGGAUAAAAAAAGUCGGUGGCGACUCUU
Molecule: long non-coding RNA, 222 nt
Filed under: Lathyrus oleraceus (garden pea)
Lineage: Eukaryota; Viridiplantae; Streptophyta; Magnoliopsida; Fabales; Fabaceae
Description: Pisum sativum (pea) long non-coding RNA (PSAT_LNC007801)
Source: RNAcentral